Molecule: long non-coding RNA, 378 nt
Filed under: Mytilus galloprovincialis (Mediterranean mussel)
Lineage: Eukaryota; Metazoa; Mollusca; Bivalvia; Mytilida; Mytilidae
Source: RNAcentral
GUUCGUUCUUAUUUUGUACUGUUACACCACUGUCCAAGGUUAAGGGGAGGAUUGGGAUCCCGCUAACAUGUUUAACCUCGCCACAUUCUGUAUGUAUGUGCCUGUCUAAAGUCAGGAGCAUGUAAUUUAGUGGUUGUCGUUUGAUUUUGUGUUACAUAUUGUUUUUUGUUCAUUUUUUUUAUACACAAAUUAGGCCGUUAGUUUUCUCGUUUGAAUUGUUCUACAUUUGUCAUUUCAGGACCUUUUAUAGCUAACUAUGCGGUAUGAGCUUUGUUCAUUGUUGAAGGUGGUAAAGUGACCUAUACUUGUUAAUUUCCGUGUCACUUGGUCUCUUGUUAAGAGUUGUCUCAUUGGCAAUCAUACCACAUCUUCUUUUUU